GACAGAGGCCCCAAGCGUUAGGCGGAAUCACUGGGCUUAAAGCGUGUGUAGGCGGACGCCUAAGUGUCUUGUGAAAUCCCACGGCUCACCCGUGGAACUGCUGGGCAUACUGGGCGUCUUGGGCCAACUAGGGGCAGCCGGAACAAGCGGUGGAGCGGUGAAAUGCGUAGAUAUCGCUUGGAACGCCGAAGGUGAAAACAGGCUGCUGGGGUUGCGCCGACGCUGAGACACGAAAGCCAGGGGAGCAAACGGGG
This 254-nucleotide ribosomal RNA is filed under the name uncultured bacterium. Its description in RNAcentral is "partial 16S ribosomal RNA". It matches the Rfam family "Bacterial small subunit ribosomal RNA", at positions 524 to 777 of the family's 1533-position model. The record is from RNAcentral.